Molecule: long non-coding RNA, 337 nt
Organism: Chanos chanos (milkfish)
Lineage: Eukaryota; Metazoa; Chordata; Actinopteri; Gonorynchiformes; Chanidae
Exons: 3
Source: RefSeq, a predicted model, not a curated record
AGAUGCAACCUGAUAUGGCCAUUGUGAAAGACCACAUGAACAGAAGUUUCGCAUGGAGGCGUGCGGAGGGAAUUUCUGUAGAGGACCUUUUGAAGAAAUUGUUUGCUGAGGUGGACCGCAUUCACCCUACAGCAAUCCCUGUGUAUCCGGGAGAACUUUACAGCUGUGCUUCCUAAGCUUCUAAAUUUGGUCAAGGACACAUCACCACUUAAAAAAUUGUACAUGGAGGCAAGAGAGGAUGCCCUGGCAGAGGAGCAUGCAGCCAUUGACUUCAGGGGUGGAUUUGUCCUCCUGCCUCCCAUCUUCAAGGAGAAGACUGAAAACUUAAUUAUUCUUG